This 1374-nucleotide long non-coding RNA is filed under the name Homo sapiens (human). RNAcentral's name for it is "long non-coding RNA NONHSAT149788.1". The record is from RNAcentral. Lineage: Eukaryota; Metazoa; Chordata; Mammalia; Primates; Hominidae.
GGAAUCCAGCGGCGCUCUGUGGUCUGCCUUGGGAGUGGGGCAGCCCUCGGGCCAGGCCAGGGGGAAGCAGGAGCAGGAACUGGGCAGAGCUGUCCAACAGGAAGCCGGCCCCCUGACAUGCGCGCCUGCAGCCUGGGGCCCUGUGAGAGAACUUGGCGCUGGUACACAGGGCCCUGGGGUGAGUGCUCCUCCGAAUGUGGCUCUGGCACACAGCGUAGAGACAUCAUCUGUGUAUCCAAACUGGGGACGGAGUUCAACGUGACUUCUCCGAGCAACUGUUCUCACCUCCCCAGGCCCCCUGCCCUGCAGCCCUGUCAAGGGCAGGCCUGCCAGGACCGAUGGUUUUCCACGCCCUGGAGCCCAUGUUCUCGCUCCUGCCAAGGGGGAACGCAGACACGGGAGGUCCAGUGCCUGAGCACCAACCAGACCCUCAGCACCCGAUGCCCUCCUCAACUGCGGCCCUCCAGGAAGCGCCCCUGUAACAGCCAACCCUGCAGCCAGCGCCCUGAUGAUCAAUGCAAGGACAGCUCUCCACAUUGCCCCCUGGUGGUACAGGCCCGGCUCUGCGUCUACCCCUACUACACAGCCACCUGUUGCCGCUCUUGCGCACAUGUCCUGGAGCGGUCUCCCCAGGAUCCCUCCUGAAAGGGGUCCGGGGCACCUUCACGGUUUUCUGUGCCACCAUCGGUCACCCAUUGAUCGGCCCACUCUGAACCCCCUGGCUCUCCAGCCUGUCCCAGUCUCAGCAGGGAUGUCCUCCAGGUGACAGAGGGUGGCAAGGUGACUGACACAAAGUGACUUUCAGGGCUGUGGUCAGGCCCAUGUGGUGGUGUGAUGGGUGUGUGCACAUAUGCCUCAGGUGUGCUUUUGGGACUGCAUGGAUAUGUGUGUGCUCAAACGUGUAUCACUUUUCAAAAAGAGGUUACACAGACUGAGAAGGACAAGACCUGUUUCCUUGAGACUUUCCUAGGUGGAAAGGAAAGCAAGUCUGCAGUUCCUUGCUAAUCUGAGCUACUUAGAGUGUGGUCUCCCCACCAACUCCAGUUUUGUGCCCUAAGCCUCAUUUCUCAUGUUCAGACCUCACAUCUUCUAAGCCGCCCUGUGUCUCUGACCCCUUCUCAUUUGCCUAGUAUCUCUGCCCCUGCCUCCCUAAUUAGCUAGGGCUGGGGUCAGCCACUGCCAAUCCUGCCUUACUCAGGAAGGCAGGAGGAAAGAGACUGCCUCUCCAGAGCAAGGCCCAGCUGGGCAGAGGGUGAAAAAGAGAAAUGUGAGCAUCCGCUCCCCCACCACCCCGCCCAGCCCCUAGCCCCACUCCCUGCCUCCUGAAAUGGUUCCCACCCAGAACUAAUUUAUUUUUUAUUAAAGAUGGUCAUG